CCAGCCCACCACGGCACGUUGUGAGGUCACCCACAGGCUCAACUUUCGAUUGUGGUCCUUGACGCCGAGCAAGCACAAUGCGUGUCGCAGAUGUUCCUAACCGGACAACAUUGUCAGGACUGUGGAACGACACGCGCUCAACAGUCAGGACCGGGCGAUGACAGAGUUCUGGUACGAUCCUCUUGCGACGAGCCGCCUUCUGGCCGAUUUCCGAUGCUCAGGUCUCCCGCAUGUGCCGCGGGAGAUCGCUUUGGCGGUCUGGACCCGUAAGAGUCCUCUCAGCCGGGCAACGGAAAGAGUGGUGUAAAGUCCAA
RNAcentral lists this ribosomal RNA (314 nucleotides) under Gammarus cf. pulex Greece. RNAcentral describes it as "partial 28S ribosomal RNA". Lineage: Eukaryota; Metazoa; Arthropoda; Malacostraca; Amphipoda; Gammaridae. The record is from RNAcentral.